This 435-nucleotide ribosomal RNA is filed under the name uncultured bacterium. RNAcentral describes it as "partial 16S ribosomal RNA". It matches the Rfam family "Bacterial small subunit ribosomal RNA", at positions 29 to 507 of the family's 1533-position model. The record is from RNAcentral.
AGCGAACGCUGGCGGCAGGCUUAACACAUGCAAGUCGAGCGGGCAUCUUCGGAUGUCAGCGGCAGACGGGUGAGUAACACGUGGGAACGUACCCUUCGGUUCGGAACAACUCUGGGAAACUGGAGCUAAUACCGGAUACGCCCUUAUGGGGAAAGGUUUACUGCCGAAGGAUCGGCCCGCGUCUGAUUAGCUAGUUGGUGGGGUAACGGCCUACCAAGGCGACGAUCAGUAGCUGGUCUGAGAGGAUGAUCAGCCACACUGGGACUGAGACACGGCCCAGACUCCUGCGGGAGGCAGCAGUGGGGAAUAUUGGACAAUGGGCGCAAGCCUGAUCCAGCCAUGCCGCGUGAGUGAUGAAGGCCUUAGGGUUGUAAAGCUCUUUUGUCCGGGACGAUAAUGACGGUACCGGAAGAAUAAGCCCCGGCUAACUUCGUG